Molecule: ribosomal RNA, 612 nt
Filed under: Scheffersomyces tanahashii
Lineage: Eukaryota; Fungi; Ascomycota; Pichiomycetes; Serinales; Debaryomycetaceae
Description: partial large subunit ribosomal RNA
Rfam family: Eukaryotic large subunit ribosomal RNA
Source: RNAcentral
UGCAUAUCAAAAAGCGGAGGAAAAGAAACCAACAGGGUAUGCCUUAGUACGGCGAGUGAGCGGCAAAAGCUCAAAUUUGAAAUCUGGCACCUUCGGUGUCCGAGUUGUAAUUUGAAGAAGGUAACUUUGGAGUUAGCUCUUGUCUAUGUUCCUUGGAACAGGACGUCACAGAGGGUGAGAAUCCCGUGCGAUGAGAUGUCUAACUCUAUGUAAAGUGCUUUCGAAGAGUCGAGUUGUUUGGGAAUGCAGCUCUAAGUGGGUGGUAAAUUCCAUCUAAAGCUAAAUAUUGGCGAGAGACCGAUAGCGAACAAGUACAGUGAUGGAAAGAUGAAAAGAACUUUGAAAAGAGAGUGAAAAAGUACGUGAAAUUGUUGAAAGGGAAGGGUUUGAGAUCAGACUUGGUAUUUUGUAUGUCUUGCUUUCGGGUGGGGCCUCUGCAGUUUACUGGGCCAGCAUCGGUUUGGAUGGUAGGAUAAUGACAUUGGAAUGUGGCACUACUUCGGUGGUGUGUUAUAGACUUUGUUGAUACUGCCUGUCUAGACCGAGGACUGCGUCUUUGACUAGGAUGCUGGCAUAAUGAUCCUAAACCGCCCGUCUUGAAACCACGGACCA